Molecule: ribosomal RNA, 549 nt
Filed under: uncultured Glomus
Lineage: Eukaryota; Fungi; Glomeromycota; Glomeromycetes; Glomerales; Glomeraceae
Description: SSU rRNA
Rfam family: Eukaryotic small subunit ribosomal RNA
Source: RNAcentral
UUGGAGGGCAAGUCUGGUGCCAGCAGCCGCGGUAAUUCCAGCUCCAAUAGCGUAUAUUAAAGUUGUUGCAGUUAAAAAGCUCGUAGUUGAAUUUCGAGAUCAAUUUUCUUGGUCAUACCUUUGUAUGUACUGGUCUUAUUGAUUUCUCCCUUCUGAUGAACCAUGAUGUCAUUAAUUUGGUGUUAUGGGGAAUCAGGACUAUUACUUUGAAAAAAUUAGAGUGUUUAAAGCAGGCUCACGCUUGAAUACACUAGCAUGGAAUAAUGAAAUAGUACGUUUGAUUCUAUUUUGUUGGUUUCUAGGAUUGACGUAAUGAUUAAUAGGGAUAGUUGGGGGCAUUAGUAUUCAAUUGUCAGGGGUGAAAUUCUUGGAUUUAUUGAAGACUAACUACUGCGAAAGCAUUUGCCAAGGAUGUUUUCAUUAAUCAAGAACGAAGGUUAGGGGAUCGAAGACGAUCAGAUACCGUCGUAGUCUUAACCAUAAACUAUGCCGACUAGGGAUCGGAUGAUGUUAAUUCUUUAAUGACUCAUUCGGCGCCUUACGGGAAAC